AGUGGCGAACUGGUGAGUAACACGUGGGUAACCUGCCCAGAAGAAGGGGAUAACACCUGGAAACAGAUGCUAAUACCGUAUAACAACAAGAACCACAUGGUUCUUGUUUGAAAACUGGUCUUUGUGCUAGUGCUUCUAGAUGGACCCGCGGCGUAUUAGCUAGUUGGUGAGAUAAUAGCUCACCAAGGCAAUGAUACGUAGCAGACCUGAGAGGGUAAUCUGCCACAAUGGGACUGAGACACGGCCCAUACUCC
Molecule: ribosomal RNA, 254 nt
Filed under: uncultured Lactobacillus sp.
Lineage: Bacteria; Bacillati; Bacillota; Bacilli; Lactobacillales; Lactobacillaceae
Description: partial 16S ribosomal RNA
Rfam family: Bacterial small subunit ribosomal RNA
Source: RNAcentral